CCCCUAGAUGUUCUGGGCCGCACGCGCGCUACACUGAACAGUUCAACAAGUCUUAACCUUGGCCGAUAGGUCUGGGUAAUCUUUGAACGCUGUUCGUGAUUGGGAUAGACCUUUGCAAUUAUGGGUCUUCAACGAGGAAUUCCUAGUAAACGCAAGUCAUCAGCUUGCAUUGAUUACGUCCCUGCCCUUUGUACACACCGCCCGUCGCACCUACCGAUUGAAUGGUCCGGUGAAGCCUCGGGAUUGCGAAUGCUUCGUGCGGACGCGAGAACUUGGCUAAACCUUACCAUUUAGAGGAAGGUGAAGUCGUANCA
This 314-nucleotide ribosomal RNA is filed under the name uncultured eukaryote. RNAcentral's name for it is "partial 18S ribosomal RNA". It matches the Rfam family "Eukaryotic small subunit ribosomal RNA", at positions 1470 to 1796 of the family's 1831-position model. The record is from RNAcentral.